UAGAACUUGUAUCUCAAAUAGUCAAAUGAGGGAGUAACGACCCGAAGGGCUAUCUCUAAGAACUCCGAAUGGCACAAAUUCUAUGAAGAGAAAAUGUGUCAUAAGCUCGGUAAAGUCGUCUGAAUGCUAUCGAAACAGGUUAAGCUGUCGAAAGCGGGCCAGAGGUGGAACGCGUAGCAGAUAGGGCGGGAGUCCGGUGC
This 200-nucleotide non-coding RNA is filed under the name Anaerospora hongkongensis. Lineage: Bacteria; Bacillati; Bacillota; Negativicutes; Selenomonadales; Sporomusaceae. The record is from RNAcentral.